CCAUUUUUUAAUAUAAUACAUAUAUAUAGGUCCCCAUAAAGUAGCCUUGUUAUGCACCUCUGGCCUAAAAACUGUGUGGUUAGGUGUAAUUAUUAAUUUCAUAGCGUAGUGUAGUGUCUCAUUUAGGAAAGAUCAGCCAUGACUUGUUCAGUGUAGUGAGUGAAUAGCACAGCGACUGAGACGCCUCAGGGAGGAGCUUCUUUCUUACUAAAGUAAAUGGGGUGCUAACUGUGGAAAUGGCAACCCUGCUCAGGCCACGCCUCUUCUGGGCGUGGCCUUUAAUAGGAAGGCAGAGGUGCCAAUCAUGUGGGUGGAGGCGGAGCCUCUGUCAUAAUAUGAUGUUUUGACAAUGUUUGUGAUGUUUCAGUUGGUUUCUUUGAUCCCUGCAUAGUUUAUAAUAUCCAAAAAACAAAAAAAAAACUACAUUCAAGGUUACUUCUGUAACAUUAUUACCAAAUGUCUUCAAGACAGUGCCCAUGGUUCUAGAGUGUAUGUAGUCAGUAGUGUAGAGUUAGCGGCUGACAGAGUCAUACUGAUAGAAAUUUAAACCUUCUUUCA
Long non-coding RNA from Cyprinus carpio (common carp), 558 nucleotides. RefSeq lists it as uncharacterized. The record is from RefSeq and is a predicted model, not a curated record. The transcript has 3 exons. NCBI's taxonomy places the organism in Eukaryota, Metazoa, Chordata, Actinopteri, Cypriniformes, Cyprinidae.